GGGGGAUGUCCGGCUUCCCCACAGGGCUGGUAUGCAUGGGAUGCUUGGGUUCUAGGAGCUGACAAAAAGGGUCAGAGGUAGGACGUAAGACACCAGCCGUGUGCCUUUCCUACACCCUGCAGAGAAAUGGCUCUGUCCCAGCCGGCUUCCCUGCGCUUCCUGGGUAAGCCACCCAUUUUGUGUGCUGUCAUCAGAAGGAACGAAGAUCGACUCUAAUUGUUCAGCAGAAGGCAAGGAGAGAUAGAGAAGCCCCAUGGCCCAGACAGCUGGGCCUGUGAGAGACGGUUGUCCCCCACCGUCCCUCUCCAGUUUCCACUCUUUACAAAGAGAAAAGGAAUGAACGGGGUCAGCAAAAGCCAGAGGCUGUGUUUAAGCUGUCUGAGCUGCUGAGCCAAGCGGACAGUGCCUGCCUGACCAUUUGGGACACCCACAGAAUCCAGGGCCCCUCUCGGAGCAUUCAGGGCUGAUGGCCAAGGCUCCAGGGGAAACCAGUCGCCUCAGAGAGUCCUCACACCUCCCUGUUCGGAAGGAAUCCGCUUGGCAACCUUGAUCUUCUAGGGACCUGUCUGCUUGGGGAUUUCCUGGAGGGGAGCCCUUUGAAUUUGGUGCCCAAAGCUCUACAUCAAGUCCAGAAGUCACUUCUCCUGCAUGAAACUUCCCAUGUGCCUAACACUUCCCAUCUGCCCCGUCGGAGCUGGACCGGUACUAAUGCAGAGAAAGGAAAACCUACAUCCCCACAAAGACCACAGAAGUUCGUGGCAGCCUUACUCACAAUAGCUGCAGGCUGGAAACAACCCGAAUGCCCCCAAACGAGGGAACCGGUCAACAAUCUGUGAUUUAGCCACACGAUGGACUAUUACUCAGCAAGAAAAAGGAAAGAACCGCCUACAGACACAACGAUAUGGCUGAAUCUCGAAAUUAUGGGGCAGAGAGGAAAGACAUGAGGGUCCAAACUAUAUGUUGAUAUAGAUGGGCAAAUCUGGUCUACGGAGACAGAAAGCUGAUCGGUGGCUGCCUGGGGCAUGGGAAGAAGACACACGGGAACAUUUUUGGCCGAUGGAAAUGUUCUCUGCCUUGAUUACUGUGCUGGGUACACAGCACAUAUGUUGAGGACUUCUCAAGCAGUACAUCUAAAACGGGUGCACUUUACUGUAUGUAAAUCAGUCCUCAAUAAAGUUGAUUUAAAAAGUCA
Molecule: long non-coding RNA, 1192 nt
Filed under: Mustela putorius furo (domestic ferret)
Lineage: Eukaryota; Metazoa; Chordata; Mammalia; Carnivora; Mustelidae
Description: lncRNA (ENSMPUG00000027977.1)
Source: RNAcentral